RNAcentral lists this ribosomal RNA (497 nucleotides) under uncultured bacterium. Its description in RNAcentral is "partial 16S ribosomal RNA". It matches the Rfam family "Bacterial small subunit ribosomal RNA", at positions 28 to 507 of the family's 1533-position model. The record is from RNAcentral.
GAUGAACGCUGGCGGCGUGCCUAAUACAUGCAAGUAGAACGCUGAAGGAAGGAGCUUGCUCUUUCCGGAUGAGUUGCGAACGGGUGAGUAACGCGUAGGUAACCUGCCUGGUAGCGGGGGAUAACUAUUGGAAACGAUAGCUAAUACCGCAUAACAGUAGAUGUUGCAUGAUAUCUACUUAAAAGGUGCAAUUGCACCACUACCAGAUGGACCUGCGUUGUAUUAGCUAGUUGGUGAGGUAACGGCCCACCAAGGCGACGAUACAUAGCCGACCUGAGAGGGUGAUCGGCCACACUGGGAAUGAGACACGGCCCCGACUCCUACGGGGGGCAGCAGUAGGGAAUCCUCGGCAAUGGACGGAAGGCUUGACGAGCAAAGCCGCGUGAGUGAAGGAGGUUUUCGGAUCGUAAAGAUCUGUUGUAAGAGAAGAACGAGUGUGGGAGUGGAAAGUUCACACUGUGACGGUAUCUAACCAGAAAGGGACGGCUAACUACGUG